CUCUAAUCCGUGUGUUGCAUGGUGUAAAGGCUAGCAUACUUCCAAAGAAAUAGCCGGCUAGGCAUGCCGCUUUAGGUGUGGACAUUCUUGAGGAGAUGGCUUUUGGGAUGACCUAAAUUUAAUAUGGAGAUUCCUCUUGAAUCACCAAGCUUGAUUUUUAAUGUAUUGAUUUCAUUGAUUUAUUGUGGACCUAAUUACCUAACUGAUUACGGCUAUUUAAUUAAUCGUUAAAAUAUGGACUUUAAAUAAAUGAUAUUGGACCUCUCUUUAUUACCCUACGAUUACGAUAUUACGGUCAUGUCC
Molecule: long non-coding RNA, 303 nt
Filed under: Lathyrus oleraceus (garden pea)
Lineage: Eukaryota; Viridiplantae; Streptophyta; Magnoliopsida; Fabales; Fabaceae
Description: Pisum sativum (pea) long non-coding RNA (PSAT_LNC032129)
Source: RNAcentral